Sorex fumeus (smoky shrew) is the source of this 104-nucleotide small nuclear RNA. NCBI's taxonomy places the organism in Eukaryota, Metazoa, Chordata, Mammalia, Eulipotyphla, Soricidae. The record is from RefSeq and is a predicted model, not a curated record.
GUACACUUUGGCAGUACACAUACUAAAAUUGGAAGAUACAGAGAAAAUUAGCGUGGUCCCUGCUCAAGCAUGACACGCAAAUUCAUGAAGCGUUCCAUAUUUUU